This is a long non-coding RNA of Megalopta genalis, 400 nucleotides long. RefSeq lists it as uncharacterized. The record is from RefSeq and is a predicted model, not a curated record. Lineage: Eukaryota; Metazoa; Arthropoda; Insecta; Hymenoptera; Halictidae.
UAAGAUAAAGAAAAAGGACUCGUAUCUCGAAGAAGGAGUGUUUCCAAUGCGGUAUUUUUUCAGACGUUCACCCUUUCACGUUCGGAAUCCACGGAUCAAUGUUGCAGCGACUGUGCUACCCGUGCUGCGACCACAUGUCAGAAUCCAUAAUGCGCCGCAAUUCAUGGAACAUUGAUCUUUAUCUCAAAGUUACUGGCAUCACACGGAUGCUGUCGCGACAAUUGGAAUUUGGAGGACAACGAUUUUUCAAAGAAUGAAUAUUUUCCUCGGAGAACUAGAUUAUGUGUAUCACAGAUUUAAUCCUUAUACGGUUGAACAAUAAUAUAUCGUCGUUGUAGAUACAACUAGAGAAAAAGUUGUUUUCUCAAUACUAUUAAUAAACAACACUUUAAUUUCUUCA